GACUUGAUAUUCAGUCUCAACCUGACUUUGAGAGCUUCUGAAUCUUCUUCCUCCCACACCCUGGGCAAAUACCUGCUACUCAUGGAUGGACAAAUAUAGGAGUCGAGCUAGGCUGCUCGAUCCCAUCUCAAUCCUACAUGACCUGAGACCUGCUCUGAGUAGCCUCUUGGCGACGUCGCAUAUCAUCCUCUCGAGUCUCC
RNAcentral lists this long non-coding RNA (200 nucleotides) under Elaeis guineensis (African oil palm). RNAcentral describes it as "long non-coding RNA (EGUI_LNC026150)". The record is from RNAcentral. Lineage: Eukaryota; Viridiplantae; Streptophyta; Magnoliopsida; Arecales; Arecaceae.